CAGCUUCACGCUCCAUCAGUGGUCUCACCAUAGACCUUCUAAUCUUGAUUGUGUUGGCUGGUGUCUAUUUUCUAAUGGUGUUUGGUUUUGGAACCUGCAUUUCUUUGAAAAAGAGUGAGCAUGUGCAUUUUCCCAGAUGCCUGGUAUCCAACUGCACUUCUCCAUGUGUGCAUUGUCCCCUGAGCUGGCAAGAAGAUCCUACUAGUUGGUCUGCAUGCCAUGCCAGCUCGGCCUUGCACCCUGGGGGCCCAGGUAACUAGCUCUCACCAACAGAAAGAGAUGUGAUGGACAUCACCUGAGGCCAGACCCUAAGACCUCUGUGUGCCCCCUCCGUGUCUCCUGUCUGCAGCUGUUGUCCACACCAAGGGUGGCCUACAGAGGGAAGUGAGGACCUUGGGACUUCCUCCAGGACAGCCCUCGCUGUCCAAAUCUCCACCUGCUGCAGAGCUGCCUCCAGUCAAGCCCUUGUUUCCAGCUUUCUGUGCCCUAAAUAAACUUCUGCUGGGAUUGAGCCAUCAGCAUUCUGUGGUGGGCGUCGCUGCUGCGAGGUUGCCCUCGUGCACACAAGCUCCUCACAGGACUUCCAGGAUGAUAUGGAAGAGUGACUGAGAGCAGCCGCCCGGUGCUUCCCAACCUUAGAGGGAGGUCACGGGCAGUCUCCCUGCGAUGCUGGCCACAGGGUCUCGCUGUGUCGCCCAGGCUGGAGGGCAGUGGUGUGAUCUGGACUCACUGCAGCCUCGACCUGUUGGGCUCAAGUGAUCCUCUCACGUCAGCCUCCAAGUAGCCAAGACCACAGGCAGGCGUCACCAUGCCCAGCCCCCAUGAUGACUUUACUUUUCUUCUUGAACCUGGUGAAUUUCUGUGUUAACAUGUCUGAUUUGAACCCUUCUGAUAUUCCUGAGAUAAACUUUAUGUGACCUUGGUAUUCUGUUGGAUUUUGGUUAGCUGAUACUUCAAGAUUUUUA
Molecule: long non-coding RNA, 965 nt
Filed under: Homo sapiens (human)
Lineage: Eukaryota; Metazoa; Chordata; Mammalia; Primates; Hominidae
Description: non-protein coding LINC02298:23
Source: RNAcentral